UUAUCCCCCCUUCUUUCUGGUUCAUGGUAGGGAGGCUGUUGCUUGCGGUAAAGUCUAUGGAGAUUGCCAAACUUCGAAGUUAAACCUAUCAAUUGACUCUCCAGACCGGUACGCGGAAUCUUUAGGCGGCUUGAGAGAAGUUUUCGAUCGGGUUAAGUUAUUGUUAAUUAAAGCUCAUGAUAGAGGGGCGCGUUAUUAUAAUAGGGGUCGUCAGUCGGUUGAAUUUAGUGAGGGUGAGGUUGUUAUGAAAAGAACUUUUCCUUUGAGUGACGCUGGUAAAUUCUUUAUGGCUAAGCUUGCUCCUAAGUAUGCGAAGUGCCGAGUAAUUCGUAAACUCUCGAAUUUAGUAUACGAGUUAGAAGAUUUUUAUACGGGUAAAAAUUUGGGGUCCUGGCAUGCCCGGAAUCUUAAAAAGUUUGUUCCGUGAUCAAUUUAACUGGCUAUAAGCUGUCUAUCCACAGCGUGUGUUGGCAGUGCAGGGCGAAGUCCCUGAUUUCGCUCUGCAGGGACAGCAUUCCUGUGAAGAGUGUCAACCGGUAGUUCUGUGGCUCCUAAGCCGAACUAUCGGACACUACUAUUAAUUAUUUUCCCUGGUGAUAGACUGUUACCUCACAGUUAUUACCGUAGGUUAUUCAUUUAACCUAACUGGCUAUAUGCCAUAUUCCGUCGUAUACCCUGGACGCGCAGCCCGCAACUCAGGUCGCUCACUGCGCCGCCAAGAUAUAUAGCGAUGCGACGCAUUAGGAAGGAAGCUUCGAGCUUCUCCUACCUGCGUUAAGUUUUACUUAGGUUAAGCUCCCUCUUAAGGGAGGGUAGGAGUAAUUGUUAUAGUUUGUAUUUGAUAACUGGUUUACAGCCAACUGUGUUUAUCAUUUUAUAGUUUAGUGCGUGGGUUCGAUUUUGAUGGUUGUUUUUCCUUCUGCCUUACAUUGUGUAACUGUUCAUUUGGGAGCUGUUGAAACCUGCGGUUUGUUUUGCGAGCUGGGGACCAGCUCAAAAUUUUGCCGGACUCAAAAUUUUCUUCGGGAAGGGGAGCACUGUAACAACAAAAUGUAAUUUUUCUUCUUCAUUAUUAAAAAAGUAAGGCUCGCGUUAGUUCCGAACUCCUACAGCCAUCUAGCUAAGGAUUAGCGUACUAGCUAACGCGCGAUCGAACACUAUGGGUCGGAAUUGCCAGCUUCAAAUCCGGAAGAAACAUUGCGCUUCCCCGCAUUCCUGUGUUUUUUUCAUAGAACCUAUUUAAUUAUAGUGGUUUUUCUUUAACAUUAUGUUAUUUCUGCGCAGUUGUUUAGUUCUUUUUAAAUAAAACCGAAGGAACCGUAAACGAUCGUUUUGUCUGUGGAGUCAUGUAGUGUUUGCACGAGCCUAAUUCGGACUUGGCAACCCCGUCGGCCUAUCUGUCACUCAAGAUGUCGGAAAGGAAGGCAGAUCUUCUUUUUGUUCGAUUCGAGCCGGGAUCGGCUAUACCCUUUGAGAUCGGGCUCCAUCGCCCAUUUGACCCCGGCAUAACAUGCUAACCUUAAAUUUGUUGCUGCGUUGAAGAGCGAUACAUCGCGUGCCCCGGGUGUUGACAUAAGCUGCAUAAUUUCCAUGCAAGCCUUUUAUCCACCAACGGGGUUCACGGCGGGGCGCUAACUACCUGGCUAACUCGCGCGGUCUCCGACCACCUGCCUCAUGCACCGGUAACCCCAAAUAAUACCAGCGGUAGUGAGCUGUCGCUGACCUUUUGUAACCAUCCGUCCAGGCCUACACAGAACGUGGCGGCUGGGGUACAAUUCCCGAUGUUGGAGGUUAGACCCAUCCUUUAUUAACUAUAUGACAUUUGGACCAGAUCGACUGGCCCUGGCGCCCAUAUACAUCUCCUGUAUUUUCUAAAUUUAGUUCCUCGGAUCGCUGUUUCUACCAAAAUCUAAAUAAAAGAGUUCGUUAACCCCGAUUUGUUCCCUGAAGCUUUAGUUUAAAAAAAGAAUUAAUAAGUACUGUAGAGUCUGUGCAAUCUAUGCUAGCCGGUUAUUAUUAAGAAACUUGUCUUACUAUUAAGAAACCUUAUAGAUAUAUAAAUAUAGGAUUACCUCAACUGCAACUUCUUGCAGUAUUGUUGCCGGGUUCUUCCAACCUCAGUGAUUUCAAUAAAAGCUUAGUUACUGA
Molecule: long non-coding RNA, 2148 nt
Organism: Cydia pomonella (codling moth)
Lineage: Eukaryota; Metazoa; Arthropoda; Insecta; Lepidoptera; Tortricidae
Exons: 2
Source: RefSeq, a predicted model, not a curated record